UACGAAGGGGGGCUAGCGUUGCUCGGAAUCACUGGGCGUAAAGCGCGCGUAGGUGGCUUCGUAAGUCCGUUGUGAAAGUCAAAGGCUCAACCUUUGAAAGCCGAUGGAUACUGCGGAGCUAGAGUACGGAAGAGGCGAGUGGAAUUCCUGGUGUAGCGGUGGAAUGCGCAGAUAUCAGGAGGAACACCGGUGGCGAAGGCGGCCACCUGGACGGAUACUGACGCUGAGACGCGAAAGCGUGGGGGAGCAAACAGG
RNAcentral lists this ribosomal RNA (255 nucleotides) under uncultured bacterium. RNAcentral describes it as "partial 16S ribosomal RNA". It matches the Rfam family "Bacterial small subunit ribosomal RNA", at positions 524 to 776 of the family's 1533-position model. The record is from RNAcentral.